GUCCAGACUCCUACGGGAGGCAGCAGUGGGGAAUAUUGCGCAAUGGGGGCAACCCUGACGCAGCAACGCCGCGUGAUUGAAGAAGGCCUUCGGGUUGUAAAGAUCUUUAAACAGGGACGAAGAAAUGACGGUACCUGAAGAAUAAGCUCCGGCUAACUACGUGCCAGCAGCCGCGGUAAUACGUAGGGAGCAAGCGUUAUCCGGAUUUACUGGGUGUAAAGGGAGCGUAGACGGCGAGGUAAGCCUGAAGUGGAAGCCCGCGGCCCAACCGCGGAACUGCUUUGGGAACUGUUUUGCUGGAGUAUGGGAGGGGUAAGCGGAAUUCCUGGUGUAGCGGUGAAAUGCGUAGAUAUCAGGAGGAACACCGGUGGCGAAGGCGGCUUACUGGACCAUAACUGACGUUGAGGCUCGAAAGCGUGGGGAGCGAACAGGAUUAGAUACCCCCGUAGC
Molecule: ribosomal RNA, 450 nt
Filed under: uncultured bacterium
Lineage: Bacteria
Description: bacterial SSU rRNA
Rfam family: Bacterial small subunit ribosomal RNA
Source: RNAcentral